GGAAGCGUGGCCGAGUGGUUUAAGGCAACGGUCUUGAAAACCGUCGAUGGGCGACUAUCCGUGAGUUCGAAUCUCACCGCUUCCGCCA
RNAcentral lists this transfer RNA (88 nucleotides) under Ectopseudomonas chengduensis. RNAcentral describes it as "Pseudomonas chengduensis tRNA-Ser". It matches the Rfam family "tRNA". Rfam says of the family: Transfer RNA (tRNA) molecules are approximately 80 nucleotides in length. Lineage: Bacteria; Pseudomonadati; Pseudomonadota; Gammaproteobacteria; Pseudomonadales; Pseudomonadaceae. The record is from RNAcentral.